ACGUAGGAGGCAAACGUUAUCCGGAUUUACUGGGCGUAAAGCGCGUGUAGGUGGUUCUGUAAGUAGGGCGUGAAAGCUCCUGGCUCAACUGGGAGAGGCCGUUCUAAACUGCAGAGCUAGAGGAUGGUAGAGGGAGGCGGAAUUCCGGGUGUAGCGGUGGAAUGCUCAGAUAUCCGGAGGAACACCGGUGGCGAAGGCGGCCUGCUGGACCGUUACUGACGCUCAGGCGCGAAAGCGAGGGUAGCAAACGG
RNAcentral lists this ribosomal RNA (251 nucleotides) under uncultured prokaryote. Its description in RNAcentral is "partial 16S rRNA". It matches the Rfam family "Bacterial small subunit ribosomal RNA", at positions 525 to 775 of the family's 1533-position model. The record is from RNAcentral.